GGCAGUACGGCAGCUAUAAUGCAGUCGUGGGGCAGCAGGGUGUAGCAAUACAUCGCUGGCGACCGGCGCACGGGUGCGUAACACGUAUGCAAUCUACCUUUAACUGGGGAAUAGCCCUCCGAAAGGAGGAUUAAUACCGCAUAAUAUCACGAGACGGCAUCGCCUUGUGAUCAAACCUACGGGGGUUAAAGAUGAGCAUGCGUUCGAUUAGCUAGUUGGCGGGGUAACGGCCCACCAAGGCUACGAUCGAUAGGGGGUCUGAGAGGAUGAUCCCCCACACUGGUACUGAGACACGGACCAGACUCCUACGGGAGGCAGCAGUAAGGAAUAUUGGACAAUGGCCGCAAGGCUGAUCCAGCCAUGCCGCGUGCAGGAUGAAGGUGCUAUGCAUUGUAAACUGCUUUUGUUCGGGAAUAAACCCCUCCACGUGUGGAGGGUUGAAUGUACCGAAAGAAUAAGGGUCGGCUAACUUCGUGCCAGCAGCCGCGGUAAGACGAAGGACCCAAGCGUUAUCCGGAUUUAUUGGGUUUAAAGGGUGCGUAGGCGGGUUUUUAAGUCAGUGGUGAAAGCCUACAGCUUAACUGUAGAACUGCCAUUGAUACUGAGAAUCUUGAGUAUGGUUGAGGUGGGCGGAAUGUAUCAUGUAGCGGUGAAAUGCUUAGAUAUGAUACAGAACACCGAUUGCGAAGGCAGCUCACUAAGCCAUAACUGACGCUGAGGCACGAAAGCGUGGGGAGCAAACAGGAUUAGAUACCCUGGUAGUCCACGCCCUAAACGAUGAUCACUCGAUGUUGGCGAUAUACUGUCAGCGUCUGAGCGAAAGCAUUAAGUGAUCCACCUGGGGAGUACGACCGCAAGGUUGAAACUCAAAGGAAUUGACGG
Molecule: ribosomal RNA, 882 nt
Filed under: uncultured Bacteroidota bacterium
Lineage: Bacteria; Pseudomonadati; Bacteroidota
Description: bacterial SSU rRNA
Rfam family: Bacterial small subunit ribosomal RNA
Source: RNAcentral